AGAGUUUGAUCAUGGCUCAGGAUAAACGCUGGCGGCGCACAUAAGACAUGCAAGUCGAACGGAAGUCGUUACGAAAUGGAAUGAAGAUUUAUCUGAUUGAAGUUUUGUAACAAUGGCUUUAGUGGCGGACUGGUGAGUAACACGUAAGCAAUCUACCUAUUAGAGGGGAAUAACAAUGAGAAAUCAUUGCUAAUACCGCAUAAGCUUGUAGUACCGCAUGGUACAGCAAGAAAAGGAGCAAUCCGCUAAUAGAUGAGCUUGCGGCUGAUUAGCUAGUUGGUGUGGUAACGGCAUACCAAGGCAACGAUCAGUAGCCGGGCUGAGAGGCUCUUCGGCCACAUUGGGACUGAGAUACGGCCCAGACUCCUACGGGAGGCAGCAGUCGGGAAUUUUGCGCAAUGGAGGAAACUCUGACGCAGUGACGCCGCGUAUAGGAAGAAGGUUUUCGGAUUGUAAACUAUUUUAGUCAGGGAAGAAAAAUGACAGUACCUGAAGAAUAAGCUCCGGCUAACUACGUGCCAGCAGCCGCGGUAAUACGUAGGGAGCAAGCGUUAUCCGGAUUUAUUGGGUGUAAAGGGUGCGUA
RNAcentral lists this ribosomal RNA (584 nucleotides) under uncultured bacterium. RNAcentral's name for it is "bacterial SSU rRNA". It matches the Rfam family "Bacterial small subunit ribosomal RNA", at positions 8 to 573 of the family's 1533-position model. The record is from RNAcentral.